UUUUUUUUUUUCUCAAGUCUUUAGUAAAUCCAUUUUAUAAGGCUGGGAAAACUUAGCAUGUAACUGAUUUUUGUCAGUAUCAGAUAGCUAUGAAAAAGAAUCACACCAGAUACAUGUUCCUGAGUCACCAUUUUUAGUGUUUAAAAAACCAUUUUUUUCUAGUUCAAGAUGAUAGUUCUGAAUGCUAAUUCCAAAACCUUACAGUCUGUAUGUGAUAUGGAAUGACUGUGCAUUUAAAAAAACAAAUGGUAAAAGCAGAGGCAGAAUUACUGUGAAGCUAAGGAAGCACAAAUUAUAAGGCUCCUUUGCACAGUCCUUCUCCAGAGCACUGAGAGGGACUCUGGCAAUGAAUUCAGUGAUCAUACAUUUUCAUACAAUUGAUAGAAGUAAGACAUAUUAACUACAAUUAGUUAAGACCAGUGUCUUUUCAUGAUGAUUUCUCUAUCACCUUACCUCCUGGUUGGUGUGUCAGAGUAGCCACAUACAUCUUAGAACUCAGUUAAGAUGAGGUUGGGUUUGGGAUAUAUUUAGCCAGAGUUUAGUGGGAUAGGAUUACACGGUCUGCAGAGCUUUAUGUAUAAAUAUACUAUAACCAGCCAAGUAAGUUCAAGACGAGCUUCCAACAAUACUCUUAUCGCUCAGUGUACUGACUCAUCCAUAAUCAUGAACCCUAGAUGGAGGUCAAAUGUCACAUUAUGGCAUGAACAUGUCUUAUAAUGCCUGGUACUAAAGGUAUAUAACUAAGUCAAGAAGAAAUAUGAGAGGUUUUCUCAAAUUUGACAACAAUCUUAAAAAUUUAGAAGACACUAUUAACAAGUUUAAUAAUGAGUUGUAAACUGAAAAAAAAAGUUUUUCUUCUAUCAAUAAUAAAAAAGACUUUUGAUUAAUUUCAAAGGGUACUGUCCUCCCAUUGUAAACACUCAAAAACGAGACAAAGUACAUGAAACAUGAUUUUCAGAUAUUGCACAAAAAAUAGUGCCGAAUUGUGAUGUCUGAAAGAAGGGUCAUGCAUUAGUAGUGAGGCUAAAUUAGUUCCAAAAUAAAGCCCCACCAUAAUAAAGCUUAAAGGCAAGAUUUGAAAGGAUAAAAUGGAUGUGCUUAACUGCACACCAGAACAAAUCCAUCACUCUUUAAAGAGAGGCAACCAAAUCUAGUAACCAAUAAUAAAAUCCAGUACCCAAUUAUAAAAUUCACAAGGCUUAGCAUCCAGUCAAAAUUACUAGGCAUGUAAAGGAGUGAGAGAUUAUAACCCAUAAUCAGUAAAAAGAAUUAGAAACAUACCUAGAAACACAGCACAGACUGGAGGGAAAUAUUUACAUAAGACGUAUCAGAUGGAGAAAUGUUACCCAAAAUAUACAAAGAACUCCUUAAAAACUCAAGAAUAAGAAAAAAAUCUAAUUUGAAAAUUGGCCAAAGACCUUAAUAGACACUUGCCAACAAUAUAUAUAGACCUAAACAAUAUUAUUUACCAACUUGACCUGACAUAGAAACAUUAGAAUGACACUAUCAAAUGUGUAUUUUUAAAAAAGAAAUGAAUACAGAAAGAAACUAGAGAUGGAAAAAGACUGGAGAAGAGAGAUGAGCUGGGCACUUGCUACAAUGGUCCAAGCAAGAAGAUGAUACAGAUGGCAGGACUGAAGAAGCGUCAGAUUUAAGAGACAUUUUUGAAGCAGCAGUUAGUAAGAGUGCUAUCAGUAUCAGAGGUAAAGGAAGCCAAGGAUGAAUCCCAGGUUUCUGGAUUGGCCAGGGGGAAAUAAAGCGGAGCCAUUAACACAGAAAUAAGUAUAAAAGGGAGGCAUAUAUUGUGAAAAAAGAGCAGAGAUUUGAACAUGUGGAGAUAGGUAUUUUUGUACAUCCAUACAGCAUUAUAUAAUAGCCAAAUAUAGACCUUUAAAUACUAUCAUCCUUCCUAAAAUAUGCUUUGAUCGUCACUCCAUGUCUUCAAACUUUCCCACAGCUUCUCACUACGUGCAGGACGAAGUCUAAAUGUUUCUCUUGUUACUGAAACUUCUCCACAAUCUGGAUCUAAUGUACUCUGUAAGUCUUUACUUCCACUAUUCCCGUUAUUGCCUGUUAUAGUCAUUCUCAAAAUGUAGUACUUGGACCUGCGGCAGCAGCAGCAGCCCCUAGAAACUUGUUAGAAAUGAAAUUUCACAAGCACUACCUGAGACCUAUACAUCAGGGAUCAGAAACCAUGGGGGUGAGACCCAGCAAUCUGUGGUUUUAAUAAGCCCUCUUGGUAAUUUCAAUGCAUGCUAAAGUUUAAGAACUACUGAUGCAUAGAAACUCUAAAAUCCAACCAAAAUGGGCUACUGGCCAUUCACCCAAAAUGCUCCUCUACUGUCUCUGACUUACUCUAUAUUCAAUUAAAAGACUUGCAUCAGCAGAGCAACUGUCCAGAGACAAUAGAUUAUUAACAGCUGAUGAAGCACACAUUAUUCACUUUGCUAAAAGUACCCAUUUUCACAUUUAUAUAAUCAUUUAGUAUUCCAUUCAAGUAUUAUUUAGGUCAAAAACAGUUUUCUGAAAAACUAUGUUAGCGAAAUCUACACAAUACCACAUACAAACAAGUCACAGGCAUAAAACAGAUCUUAAUUUAGACGAGUGUGUACCUAGUCAAAGAAAUGACAGUACAAAGGAUUCCUACAGUCCCUGUGAUAGCAGCUGACAGCCUAAGCAGCUCAUUUUGGUUAGAUAAUAUAAGAGUGACUUCCCACUAGCUCAUACUUACAGCAAAUGCCUGAAAUGGUUCCAGCCUAAGCAUAGAUCAAAGAGUUUCUUUUCUUUCCUCUCUUCUUAGUUUCAUUGGAAUUUGAAAAUGACAGAACUUUUCUUUUCAUUGGGUUGCUUUAAAAAGAAUAAGAUAAAUUGUGAGUCUGCCCUUUCCAGAAACCGGGAGCAUACAUAGCAAGUGCACUGUCGCACAGGCAGAUGGUCUGGGUUCAAAGCCCAGUGUCAUCACUUGCCAGGUGGGUAUUCUUGGGUGACUUAACCUCUGGGUGUCCAUUUUCUCAGCUUUGAAGUGGUGAUUUUAAGAAUUCAGUAAAGUAGAGUUCCAGUCCAACAUAGCAACAGAGACACCUGAACUCAUCUCUUCUUAAGAACGCUCCAAAUCUACAGCCACACAUGAAGCAAUGCUCUCCUUCAGAAAUCCAGAAAUCAGCUAACUCCUACCCACUGGGCAAAUGAGAAAAUACCCUAAUAAAAAUGGGUAGGAAAGGCUGAAACACACCCUUGCCAUAAAGCACACCCCAGCACAGUGACAUACAAUCGAGAGGGAUCUCACAACUCCCAGCUUGCUCCUGAAGUGAGGGGUUUGGAUCCCAUAUCUAGUGCUACAAUUUUUGAGACUUCCACUCAAGGAAAGGGCCUUUUAAAGACCUAACUCUCUUAACAACUUUCAAAUGGAUAAUACAGUAUUGUUAACUACAGUAACCAUGCUAGACAUACCAUCCCCAGGGCUUCUUUAUACUAUAGGUUUGUACCUUUUGGACACUUUAAAACAUUGCAUCCACUCACCACCAAUCUGUUAUCUGUACGAGUUCUUUUUAAAAAAUAGAUUCUUAUAAGUGAUAUCAUACAGUAUUUCUCUGACUUAUUUCACUGAGAACAAUGCCCUCAAGGUCUAUCCACGUUGUUGUCACAAAUGACAAGAUUUCCUUUCUUUUUAUGGCUGAAUAAUAUUCCAGAGUGCAUGUGCACACACACACACAUUUUCUUUAUCCAUUCAUCCCUCAGUGGACACUUAGUUGUUUCCAUGUCCUUUUUGGCUAUAAUUGAAGUGAACAUAGGGAUACAUAUAUUUUUCUUAGGAAUUUACUUUCCUCCAGAUAAAUACCCAGAAGUAGAAUUGCUGGAUUAUGUGCUAGUUCUAUUUUUCUUUUUUGUUUGUUUAUUUGAGGAAAUUCUAUACUGUUUUACAUAAUUGCUGUAUCAAUUUAUAUUACCCUCUCCGACCAUACAAAAGCUCCCUUUUUGCAUAUCCUGACACUAUUUGUUAUUUCUUGUCUUUUUGAUAAUAGCCAUUCUAACAGGUGUGAGGUGAUAGCUCAUUGUGGUUUUUUACUUGAAUUUCCCAGAUGAUUAGUGGUUUAGAACAUCUUUCCGUGUGUCCGCUAGUCAUCUGCAGGUCUCCUUUGAAAAAAUGCCUAUGUAGGUUUCUGGCCAUUUUUAAUCAAGUGGGUUUUUUUGUUUGUAUAUGUUGAAUUGUGUAAGUUUGUAUAUUUUGGAUAUUAACCCCUUAUCAGAUGUAUCAUUUGCAAAUAUCUUCUCCCAUUCAGUAGGCUGUCUUUUCAUUUUGUUGAUUGUGUCCUUUACUGUUCCAAAGUGUUUUUAGUUUGAUUUAACUUCAUUUGUUUCUGCUUUUGUUUCCCUUGCAUAGGGAGACAUAUCCAAAAAAUAUUGCUGAGACCAAUGUUAAAGAGUGUGCUGCCUAUGUUUUCUUCUAAAAGUUUAAUGUUUUUAGGCCUUAACACUUAAGUCUUUAAUCAGUUUUUAUUUUUGUAUAUACUAGAAGAAAGUAGUCCAGUUUGAUUCUUUUGCAUGAAUCUGUCCAGUUUUCCCAAUACUAUUUAUCGAAUACUAUUUAUUCCUCAUUCUAUAUUCUUGCCUCCUUUGUUGCAGAUUAAUUCAUCAUAUAAGUGUGGGUUUAUUUCUGGGCACUCUAUUCUGUUAAUUUAAAAAAAAAAAAUUGAGGGGGAUCUCCGUGCUGUUCCAUUGAUCUUUGUGUCUGUUUUUGUGCAGUUUUCAUAGUUUUGAUUACUGUAGCUUUGUAGCAUAGUUUAAAAUCAUGGAGCAUGAUAUCCCCAGCCUUGUCCUUUUUCAAGAUUGCUUUGGCUAUUUGGAGGACUUUUGUAUUUCCAUACAAACUUUAGAAUUAUUCCUUCUACUGUGAAAAAUGCCUUUGGUAUUUUGAUAGGGAUUACACUGAAUCUGAAGAUUGCCUUGGGUAGUAAAGUCAUUUUAUAACAUUGAUUCUUCCAAUUCAUUAGUACAGUAUAUCUUUCAUAGAUAUCUAUCAUCUUCAGUUCUUUUCAUCACUAUCAUAGCUUGCUGAGUACAAACAUUUUAUCUCCAUGAUUAGAUUUAUUCUUAGGUAUUUUUCGAUGACAUUAUAAAUUGGAUUGUUUUCUUAAUUUAUCAUUCUCAUAGUUGUAUAUAGCACUACAACAGAUUUGUAUGUAUUAAUUUUGUAUCAGGAAACUUUACUGAAUUAAUUUAUUAGUUCUAAUAGUUUUUUGUUGGUGUUUUAGGGAUAUUGUAUAUACAGUACUAUGUCAUCUGCAAGCAGUGACACUUUUACUUCUUCCUUUCCAAUUUGGAUUCCUUUUAUUUCUUUUUCUUACCUGAUUGCUAUGGCUAGGACUUCCAAUACUACAUUGUAUAAAUAUCACAAAAAUGGGCAUCCUUUUCUCAUGCCUAAUCUUAGAGGAAAUGGUUUCAGCUUUUUCUCAUUGAGUAUGAUGGUGGCUAUAGGUUUGUAAUAUAUGGCUUUUCUCACGUGGAGGGAUGUUUCCCCUAAUCUCCUUUGCUGACAGAUUUUAUCAUAAGUGGAUCUUGAAUUUUGUCAAAACCUUUUCUGCAUAUACUGAGAUGAUUAUAUGAUUUUUAUUCUUCAGUUUGUUAAUGUGGCGUAUCACAGUGAUUGAUUUGCAAAUAUUGAACAAUCCUUUUAUUCCUGGGAUAAAUCCCACCUGAUCAUGGUGUAUGAUUCUUUCAAUGUACUGUUGAAUUCAGUUUGCUAAUAUUUAGUUGAGGAUUUUUGCAUCGUGUUCAUCAGUGAUACCGACUUAUAAUUUUCUUCUUUGUGUGUUUGUCUGAUUUUGGUAUCAGGAUGAUACUGGCCUUAAGGAAAAAUUCAGAAGAAUUUCCCCCAUCUUUAUUUGUUAGAAUAGUUUGAGGAAGAUACAUGCCAACUGUUUAUAAAUGUUUGGUAGAAUUAAACUGUGCCAUCUGGUCCUGGAUUUUUGUUCAUUGGGAGUUUUUUUUUUUUAAUUACUGAUUCAAUUUCAUUACUGAUAAUCACUCUGUCCAUAUUAUCUACUUCUUCCUGAUUUAGUUUUAUGAUCCUGACUAUGUUUCCAGAAAUUUAUCCAUUUCUUUUAGGUUUUCCAUUUUAUUUGCAUAUUUGUUCACAGUAAUCUCUUACGGUCCUUUGCAUUUCUGUACCAUCUAUUGUAACUUCUCUUUCAUUUCCAAUUUUUUUUUUUUAAUUUAGGCUCUCUCUUUUUUUCUUGAUGACUCUGGGUAAAGGUUUAUUGAUUUUGCUUAUCUUUUCAAAGAAACAGCUCCUAGUUUCAUUGAUAUUUUCUACUUUUUUUUUUUUUAAGUCUCUACGUCAUUUAUUUCUGCUCUAAUCUUUACUAUUAUUUCCUUUCAUUAACCUUGGGUUUUGUUUUUCUUUUUUCG
RNAcentral lists this long non-coding RNA (6408 nucleotides) under Sus scrofa (pig). RNAcentral describes it as "lncRNA (ENSSSCG00035007672.1)". The record is from RNAcentral. Lineage: Eukaryota; Metazoa; Chordata; Mammalia; Artiodactyla; Suidae.